This is a non-coding RNA of Camelina sativa (false flax), 216 nucleotides long. NCBI's taxonomy places the organism in Eukaryota, Viridiplantae, Streptophyta, Magnoliopsida, Brassicales, Brassicaceae. The record is from RefSeq and is a predicted model, not a curated record.
UCAGUCUUCUUUAUCAGCCUCAGCUAUGGCGGAUUCCGAGAAAUCUCGUUCCAGUUGGAUUAAGCAACUCAACGCAUCUCUAGACGAAAUCGAUCCCGAAGUCGCUGAUAUUAUCGAAUUAGAGAAGGCUAGGCAGUGGAAGGGAUUUGAACUAAUACCAUCUGAGAACUUCACUUCUCUUUCGGUGAUGCAAGCGGUUGGUUCUGUUAUGACUAA